GCAGUAGUAGCUAUUGUUCCUGGAGCAGUUGUUGUGGUUCCUGCUGCAGUUGUUGUGGUUCCUGCACCGGUUGUUGUGGUUCCUGCACCGGUUGUUGUGGUUGUUGUGGUUCCUGCUGCAGUUGUUGUGGUUCCUGCAGCAGUUGUUGUGGUUCCUGCACCGGUUGUUGUGGUUCCUGCCCCAGUUGUUGUGGUUCCUGCCCCAGUUGCUGUGGUUCCUGCACCGGUUGUUGUGGUUCCUGCCGCAGUUGUUGUGGUUUCUGAACCAGUUGUUGUGGUUCCUGCCCCAGUUGCUGUGGUUCCUGCCCCAGUUGUUGUGGUUCCUGCCGCAGUUGUUGUGGUUUCUGCACCGGUUGUUGUGGUUCCUGCACCGGUUGUUGUGGUUCCUGCAGCAGUUGUUGUGGUUGUUGCAGCAGUUGCUGUGGUUGUUGCUGCAGUUGUUGUAGUUACUGCUGCAGCUGUUGUUGAUUCAGCAGUUGUUGUGGUUGUUGCUGCAGUUGUUGUAGUUACUGCUGCAGUUGUUGUGGUUCCUGCACCGGUUGUUGUGGUUCCUGCAGCAGUUGUUGUGGUUGUUGCAGCAGUUGCUGUGGUUGUUGCUGCAGUUGUUGUAGUUACUGCUGCAGCUGUUGUUGAUUCAGCAGUUGUUGUGGUUGUUGCUGCAGUUGUUGUAGUUACUGCUGCAGUUGUUGUGGUUCCCGCACCGGUUGUUGUGGUUCCUGCAGCAGUUGUUGUGGUUGUUGCUGCAGUUGUUGUAGUUACUGCUGCAGCUGUUGUUGAUUCAGCAGUUGUCGUGGUUGUUGCUGCAGUUGUUGUAGUUACUGCUGCAGUUGUUGAGGUUCCAGUAGUUGUUGUUGAUUCCGCAGUUGUUGUUGUUGGUUCAGCAGUUGUUGUUGAUGUUGUAUUCUCAGCACUUAUAGUUACAGGUACAGUAACAAGCAGUAUGGCCACUAUUUGUAAAGAGCAAAAGGAUUAUUGCAUGCAAAUCUAUAUCUAAGAGCUCUAUAUUUUAUGAUUAUAUUAUUAAUGUCAUACUUACGUGUAAUUAUCAGUAAUUUUGACGUAAACCCCAUUGUGUCUCUUCUUGAACCUAUAAUUUGUGACAGUACAAUGACUUUUUCUGGAUCACAGGAUGUAAACAGAACCCUAUAUCAACUUAAUGUUGACUUUGUCUCUUGAUUUUGUGUUUCAUAAUUAUUAAAUCUGUUUUUCUCACUCUUGAAUGUGCAGCUUCUCCUCUGUUUUGGAAUCAUUUCGCAAUUUCAAAUACAGUCUAAACAACAUCAUUGUAAAACAACAAGCAUUGUUCUCUUCAGUGUAUUAUCUGUGCCUGGAUUUGCACUGAUAGCUCAUGAAUGCAUUAUUUUCUAUUUUUGAAUUUUGCUUUGCUGCAAUGGGUAGGCGACCUGUCCAGGCGUACCCUGCCUCUCGCCCAUAGCCAGCAGGGAUACGCUCCAGCACCCCCGCGACCCCGCAUAUGGUAUUAAGUGGUAUGGAAAAUGGAUGGAUGGAUGGAAUUUUGCUUUGUUGUGUAAAAAACUAAAAACAUAAAUAAUGAGGAAGAGGUAAUCAGUGGAAAAAUGACUGUAUUUAUACAUGUUACUUAAUCAUUACUUUCUUGGUUCAGUGUUUUCAAAAAUUAUAAGAAAUUUAAAUUAAUAAAUAUAUUUUUAAAACCUAUUAUCA
This is a long non-coding RNA of Betta splendens (Siamese fighting fish), 1682 nucleotides long. The record is from Ensembl. NCBI's taxonomy places the organism in Eukaryota, Metazoa, Chordata, Actinopteri, Anabantiformes, Osphronemidae.